This is a long non-coding RNA of Rhagoletis pomonella (apple maggot), 1450 nucleotides long. RefSeq lists it as uncharacterized. NCBI's taxonomy places the organism in Eukaryota, Metazoa, Arthropoda, Insecta, Diptera, Tephritidae. The record is from RefSeq and is a predicted model, not a curated record. The transcript is spliced from 3 exons.
CGAAAGGCGACAUAUAAAAAAGCACGCAAAGAAGAAAUGUCUGGCAACACCAGCAAAGUUUUGAGACGAUUUUGCGACGACUGCUAGAAAGGGGUGCUCACUGUUUGAUGCUAAAGAUGUCUCAAAAUGUAGACGUCUACAUUUUCAGGCAAAAUUUGGAACGAACUGUGAACACCUCAAAUGUUCGUGUUCUUUCUUCUGCUUGAAAUAGUAGUAGGCCAGUAAUUUUGACGUUUGAUAAUGCACCGUGAAUAGUAAACAAUGGCAGAAGAAGAGCGGUAAAAAGUAAACAAAAGAAACAAUAUUUUGCCUAUGACCAAUUUGAGAUAGUUUUCACUGAUAUCGGAACAUCACUAUAUCUACCGAAGAAAUCGAUUUGUCGGAUUUGUCUGAGCCGGUGAAGUGUGAAGAAUGUGGGAAAAUAAUGAAGAGAAGCUCAUUAAAAAAACAUAAGCAACGUCAUAAACCAAAAACUUUUCUUUGUCAGGCCUGCCCAAACACAUUUAAGGAGUCAUGUGCCCUAAAAAAUCAUGAGCUCUGUCACAAUGAGAAUCGGGAAAGAUUUCCGUGCGACAUCUGUAACCAAAGCUUUUUAACUCCGUAUACAUACAAAAAACACAGGCUAACGCACGAAACCAACCGCAAACCAAUAUAUCAAUGUGCUCAGUGUGAAAAAUCAUUUCUUCAUAAAAAUGGUCUAACAAUCCACGAGCUCCAUCACAAGGGAGCUUCGAUAGAAUGCCAAGUUUGUCAAAAACGUUAUGUGUGGCAAAUAGACCUAGAUGUUCAUUUACGCACUCAUUCUGGACAAUCGCCAUUUGUGUGUCACCUUUGUGGAAAAUCUUUCAUCCACAAACGUAUUUUAAAUAGGCACAUGCAGUACCAUGGAUAUUUCAGUUACAAGUGCGUGAUUUGUGGUUCUAAAAUAAUUGUAGUAUUGGUCUUGUCCCACCCGUGACAAAAAAAAGGUAAAAGUUAUAUUCAAUUACAGAAGUUGCAGUUGUGUUUCAGGUUUGUUACAUAAUGUUAGAAAUUCAUUGCAAAUAUUUACCACAAUUGCAUUGUCGUUUCCACGUAGUUAGAUAAGAAUAAUUCAACAGAGAGGUAGGCCCCACCCGUGACAGCUAUGUGUGGGUCAGUUGUCAGAGGUAGGUUUACAGGGCUGCUAAGCUUAAUUUGUUUGUUUAGGUGGACGCAGGGGAGAAAGGCGGAAGCGCGGACUCGCCCAUUGCCUAUAUGCCAUUGUGGUCAGAUGAUCAAGUUAAGUGAGAUGUUGACCAGUUUUGGUUUUUUCUUUUGUUUAUUUAAUGUUCAUAGUUUUUUUAUAAAAUUCUAGCAUAUUAAAUAACCAGAACCACAUUAAUCCACAUUUUAAACUUCGUACAAAAAUUAGAAAUUUCAACAACAGUUACACCCAAAAAUUCUAAACUUUUUGUUCGUAAUUUUUAGA